ACAGGAUGAGGCACAGCAAGUUCAAGGGACUUGCCAAGGUUUCCUGGCUAAUGAGCGUGUGCACAAGGACUUCAGUAUCUGUUCUUGGAGUCCAGAUCUGCAGCCCUUGUGGAUCUGGAUGGUCCUUACAGGAAAGGAGAAGUGACAUCCCAGGAGGGUUUGGACCAUGGGUCUAUAAUCUAUUAUCUGAAGACCCCUGGAAAAAGUGGCAUUUCCAUUCUCAUUUGACAUGUGAGAACAAUGAAGCAAAGAGCUAGGAAGAAGCAAAGUCAGUGUUGCUGCAUCCGACGCUCCCUCCCAGGAAGCAAGGCCGCUGAAAAGGCUGAGGCUGGAAAACCAAGAGACCGAGAGUACCAAGUACAGCGGAAAGGUCCAAGGUUCCCUCCCCGCGAAGCCGCGGCGAAGUCUCUGUUUCUCAUUGGCUUGAAAGAAACCUGGCAGAACCGCGUGUUCUGAUUGGACAAAGCUAACCGCAGACUCCUAGAGCCCAGCACAAGGGAACCACCCCGCAGCAAAUGGACUUAAAGCCAAGGAAAAGAAUAGGGGUCCCGUUCCCAGGGAAACUGGGAUAGUUAUGAGACGGUGAACCAAUGCUAGGGAGUGAACAGCAGGUGGACACUACACUGUAAAAGCUCACCGCAACAAUUAAAAUACUUCUUUUCCAAUGAUCUCAUAGACGUUCUUGGUCUUAUGUAUUAUAAACAUCCAGGAACUUUCGCGGCGACUUUCAUUUUUGGAUAAUGAAUAUAAAUAAGGAGAGAGGUAUAAGAAAAUUUGAACCAAGACAGGACAGCUGUGAUAUGUGGACACUCAUGGGCUACCUCUGUUAUGCCCUUUCAUGUGGACUUUUUGAUACCUCCGUGUAUUGUGGAAUUGCAGAAUCUUCACUUUGGGGUGGGUGGAAAAGCUCAUCCAUCCCUGAUCCCACAUGGAGCAGAGAGUCUGUCCCCAAUGCUAUUAACAACAAUGCCCCCUGCCAGCUCCUCUUUCCAAGGUGCUUUAACCUAAGGCACUGUGAGAAUGGACAACAGCACAGGUGAAAAGGGGUGAUCUCUAGAUGUUUGCUUGACUUCAGCCCUAUGAAAACCUUGGGAAACAUACUCAGCUUAUCCUUCAUUUCCUUCACCACCCCAUCUCAGGCAGACCUCAUCUUUAAUGUACCCCCGUCACCUCCUUCAACUUGUCCUAAUUUUCCUAGCACUAUCCUACUUCUUGUGAUUCCAAGCCUAGGCUCUCCUCUGAAACCAAAAGAGCCUUUCCUCAAUCUUUUAUGUAUCCUGACAUUCGUUAAUAUCUCCUAAGAUUUCUUAGAAAACUUGGAAUGGAACCACCAUUUGACUCAGAUAUCCCAAUCCUCGGUUUAUAUCCUAAGGAUUUAAAAUCACCAUACUACAGUUACACAGCCACUACAAUGUUUAUAGCAGCUCAAUUUAUAAUAGCCAAGCUAUGGAACCAACCUAGGUACCCUGCAAC
Molecule: long non-coding RNA, 1473 nt
Organism: Sciurus carolinensis (gray squirrel)
Lineage: Eukaryota; Metazoa; Chordata; Mammalia; Rodentia; Sciuridae
Exons: 3
Source: RefSeq, a predicted model, not a curated record